Molecule: long non-coding RNA, 3134 nt
Organism: Podarcis raffonei (Aeolian wall lizard)
Lineage: Eukaryota; Metazoa; Chordata; Lepidosauria; Squamata; Lacertidae
Exons: 3
Source: RefSeq, a predicted model, not a curated record
UGAUGGGGCUUGAACUCACAUCUCCUGAUACCCAAUUCCAAAUCUAUCCAGUGUGCCUACUGUCACUGCUCUGUGAAGCUUGCAGUGGGGCACUAUUAGUGCAAUCACUUCUCCCUUUGGGGUUCAAACCCCAGUCUCCUACUUCCCAUUAGUACUUUGUCAAAACCUGUCCUCUGGUUUCUCAAAAGUUUUCUUUCCCAGCAAAAGAAGAGACUUCUGUUUUAACUUUUCAUUUGCAGGGCCCCACCCCCUGGUUGCCUGCAAUUCUGUAGCCUCUGAAAUGUACCACUAAAAUUAGGAGGUGAAAGGAAGCAUGAUUGUUCUCAAGGAUCACAGAGCACAUGCAUGGAGAACAAACAGCCACUGUGCACCCAGAGUUCCACUACAGCCCUUAUAGGGAAAGAGCCAACUAUCCAACAGCUAUGAGACCUACCCCAUGCCCAGUUCCUUGCAGAUCAUGAGGAAGGCCCACAACCAUGAGCCCUGGAGGUUUGCCAACCUAUUUGCUCCACACAGGUUCCUCCUUGCUCCUGACCAGCAAAAGACUCUUUCUUUGACACAGUACAUCUUCAACACUUGUCCCAAGGAGGCCUGUGCGUCCUCUCUGUAGGCCUCUGGCCAAGGGAGGUUUUUGGGUGCUAUGUUCUGUUACCUUUCCUUCUUCCCUGUUGGGUGUUGUGAUCAAACAUAGGGCAAUGAGCUUAUAAAGGGAUUUGAACCCCCUGCUUGUAGGGAUGCUUGAGGAAGUGCGCCAGCUGUGUCACUGCUGUUUGUGUCACAGGAGCUCAUGAAGCAGUAUCAUUGUGCAUGUGUUGCACUGUACAUAGGGCAGGCGGUUGUCCUGGAGAUAUAUCCUCUAUGUCACUGCAUCUGCUACCUCCAUGUCUACAUGACUUGGAGGUGCCACUGCUGCCAUGGGCCAUAAUGUUACCAUAUAUGCUGAGGGAGUGGCAUUUGCCAUUGCUCUGUUGUUCACUUUUAGAGCAGUAUAUUUAUUCUCUCCACUUUGGGGCUGAAGGUUUAAAAAGGCUGUUUUACAUUAUAGUUAGCUAAUAAAUGAAGUGUAUGUAAGUUAGUUUAAGAUCAAGUGUUAAAUAUAACUAGCACAUCUCCAUUGUUUCUAUUCACAUCAAUAACACUUCACAAAGUCUUUAUUUUCCAGCCAUUUAGCUUAAAACAAGAGUGCCAACCAAUUCUGGAAACUGGUAUGGGAAGCAAUGUCCUUCUAUUACUGUCCACUAUUCAAAGAGGCAUGACAGCUUCCUUCAAGUUUGGCAAACUAAUGAGGAUGAGGAUGACAAAUAGUAAUUACACUGGAAGCAUGCAUGGCAGGCUGAUGCUAAAAUAAAAGAAAGACCCAUUCCCCUUGCAAUAUGUCUUUCUCAAAGACUACAUUUAUUGCCUACUUCAGCUUAUGCAUUCUAUUCAUGGUCAUAGUAAAAAAUAUUGAUUCCCUCCCCCAUUUACAUAAAGGUUCUGUGCAAAAUUGAAUAUGACAGCCCAGACAUCUACGUAAUGGCCUUCCAGUAAGUAUAAAAGCUACACAGAAUAAUCCGUCUCACAGAGAAUACUAAUGUCAGCUUUGAUGCCUCUAGCAAUGGUGUGUUCUGGGAGGGCAAAAUCAGACAGGCUUGUGUGUAUUUAAUGACUGUUAAAAGAGAAAAACAAAAACAAAAUGUUGGUGGCUUCAUCACAUACAGCCCCACUCUCCCAUGCCAUUGGCAAUAAACUGAUCUGUCAUAACUGUUGUAUUUGCAAAUCCAGCCCUUCCUACAUCUGUUAAUAGAGAGACACAAAAACAGAUUGUUUUCUUUGUUUCAAACAAAAUAGGAACAGUGGGUGGUAUUCACUUGUUAUUCUACACAAACUAGAAGUACUUUGGACAUUUAACCCCACCACAUUUCAUCCACAGUCAUAUUCCUCUGCCAUGUCAUAGUGAUUGCCUGGGGUGGGGGUGGGGAUUGAAUGCACAGCACCAACUGAUGGCUUUUGUGUGGUUUUUUUACCAUAAAAAUGACUUCACUAAAAGUGGCAGCUGUCAUAUGAUGGAUAAAAUCCCCGUUCAUGGUUUAUCAGCAUUCGGCAUAAAAGGCUAACUGCCUUACAUGCUAAGCAUCAAUGAACCAUGCAGACUCAUUACACGGCCCACCUAUUUUUUGUUAUGGUGCUUGCUUGAUGCUUAUCACUGUUGAUUGUAAUGAUUUUUAAUUAUUGCAAGUGCUUUAUUCCACCUGUCAUUAGAUGCUCUGAAGACCAUUCAGUCAAAAAGCAACGUAUGAGUAAGAAAGCUAAAUAAAUGACAGAAGUUUCAGAUGUUCCAGUUAUCAAGUAAUAAUUAUAACCAUCACAUGAACACUAUUAGAUGUGAAGUUACUCUCAUGAAAUUUGGAACUGCAGAAUAGGUCCAGAGAACAAAUAGUAAAGUGUUUCAGUUAAUGAUUCUCCAUCAUUCUAUUAUUCAUUGCUACUAUUAAUGGUCAAAUAUAAUAUAAAUGAAGACAUAUCUGUAGUAUCUGAGGUCCUGUAAUUUUGAGGCAGUGCUGUUUGUCAUGCCAGGAAGAUUUUUAUAGAAUUAUUAGUUGAUGAAGCAAACCAUAUGAAGAGUUAGACCACAGGUCAGUUCUACAGAAACAGAUCUAUAGAAACGUAUUAACAAUGUAAGAGAAAUUUGUCUUAAAAAAUAAGAUGGAGUUGUUGGUGUGAGCAUAACUUUUGUUCUGUGCUGGCACAUUAACAGCUUGCUUAUUAACUCUCUUGUCCGUUAUUGUGUGGAUGGAAUUCCAAGAAAGAAGAUUCUUACUAAACAUUAGGAAUAACUUUCUGGCAGUAAGUGCUGUUUGACAGUGAAACAAACUUCCAUAAGAGGUGGGAGACUCUCCUUCCUUGGAGGCACAGGUUGGAUGGCCAUCAGUCAUGUAUGAUUUAGUUGAGAUUCCUGUAUUGCAGGGGCUAGAUUAGAUGGCCCUCGGGGUCCCUUCAAUUCUAUGAUUCUAUGAUUUUCAACAGUAAUGCACACAUCUCUCUCCAAAAUUAGUGGAAUGAUAUACACUAAAAAACAACAACCUCAACUAAGACAUUUACCCCAUUGACUUCAACAGGUGUUUUCAACAGUAUCUUAGUUGUGUCUAAUGAGU